RNAcentral lists this ribosomal RNA (884 nucleotides) under uncultured bacterium. Its description in RNAcentral is "bacterial SSU rRNA". It matches the Rfam family "Bacterial small subunit ribosomal RNA", at positions 29 to 897 of the family's 1533-position model. The record is from RNAcentral.
UUGAACGCUGGCGGCAUGCCUAACACAUGCAAGUCGAACGGCAGCAUGAAGUGGAGCUUGCUCUACUUUGAUGGCGAGUGGCGGACGGGUGAGUAAUAUGUAGGAAUCUACCUUGAAGUGGGGGAUAACUUAGGGAAACUUAAGCUAAUACCGCAUAAUGUCUAAGGAAGAAAGCAGGGGAUCGUAAGACCUUGCGCUUUAAGAUGAGCCUACAUCGGAUUAGCUAGUUGGUGGGGUAAAGGCCUACCAAGGCUAUGAUCCGUAGCAGGUCUGAGAGGAUGGCCUGCCACACUGGGACUGAGACACGGCCCAGACUCCUACGGGAGGCAGCAGUGGGGAAUAUUGGACAAUGGGCGCAAGCCUGAUCCAGCAAUGCCGCGUGUGUGAAGAAGGCCUUAGGGUUGUAAAGCACUUUCAGUGGGGAGGAAGGAGUGAAUGCUAAUACCAUUUGCUAUUGACGUUACCCACAGAAGAAGCACCGGCUAACUCUGUGCCAGCAGCCGCGGUAAUACAGAGGGUGCAAGCGUUAAUCGGAAUUACUGGGCGUAAAGGGUGUGUAGGUGGUUGUAUAAGUUAGAUGUGAAAUCCCCGGGCUCAACCUGGGAACUGCGUUUAAGACUGUAUAACUAGAGUACUGUAGAGGAUAGUGGAAUUUCCAGUGUAGCGGUGAAAUGCGUAGAUAUUGGAAGGAACACCAGUGGCGAAGGCGACUAUCUGGACAGAUACUGACACUGAGACACGAAAGCGUGGGGAGCAAACAGGAUUAGAUACCCUGGUAGUCCAUGCUGUAAACUAUGAGAACUUGCUGUUGGAUGCAUAAAGGCAUUUAGUAGCGAAGCUAACGCGUUAAGUUCUCCGCCUGGGGAGUACGGUCGCAAGACUAA